GUCAUACGGUUGAGUAACGCGUGGGAAGCUACCUUGUGGUAGGGAACAACAGUUGGAAACGACUGCUAAUACCCUAUGAGCCCUAUGGGGGAAAGAUUUAUCGCCAUGAGAUGUGCCCGCGUUAGAUUAGCUAGUUGGUAAGGUAAUGGCUUACCAAGGCGACGAUCUAUAGCUGGUCUGAGAGGAUGAUCAGCCACACUGGGACUGAGACACGGCCCAGACUCCUACGGGAGGCAGCAGUGGGGAAUAUUGGACAAUGGGGGCAACCCUGAUCCAGCCAUGCCGCGUGAGUGAUGACGGCCUUAGGGUUGUAAAGCUCUUUCAGCAGUGAAGAUAAUGACAUUAACUGCAGAAGAAGCCCCGGCUAACUUCGUGCCAGCAGCCGCGGUAAUACGAAGGGGGCUAGCGUUGUUCGGAAUCACUGGGCGUAAAGCGUACGUAGGCGGACUGAUCAGUCAGGGGUGAAAUCCCGGGGCUCAACCCCGGAACUGCCUUUGAUACUGUCAGUCUUGAGAUCGAGAGAGGUGAGUGGAACUCCCGAGUGUAGAGGUGAAAUUCGUAGAUAUUCGGAACCACAGCCA
This 581-nucleotide ribosomal RNA is filed under the name bacterium T272. RNAcentral's name for it is "bacterial SSU rRNA". It matches the Rfam family "Bacterial small subunit ribosomal RNA", at positions 97 to 712 of the family's 1533-position model. The record is from RNAcentral.